This 33-nucleotide ribosomal RNA is filed under the name Chondrilla nucula (chicken liver sponge). Its description in RNAcentral is "partial 5.8S ribosomal RNA". Lineage: Eukaryota; Metazoa; Porifera; Demospongiae; Chondrillida; Chondrillidae. The record is from RNAcentral.
UGAUCCCGUGGGCACGUCUGCCUGAGUGCCUUG